UUCUGGAUUGCUGGAGUGUAAGACACAC
RNAcentral lists this small RNA (28 nucleotides) under Bombyx mori (domestic silkworm). Its description in RNAcentral is "ovarian small RNA-37535". Lineage: Eukaryota; Metazoa; Arthropoda; Insecta; Lepidoptera; Bombycidae. The record is from RNAcentral.